Molecule: ribosomal RNA, 448 nt
Filed under: uncultured bacterium
Lineage: Bacteria
Description: SSU rRNA
Rfam family: Bacterial small subunit ribosomal RNA
Source: RNAcentral
AGAGCGAACGCUGGCGGCAGGCUUAACACAUGCAAGUCGAGCGCUCGUAGCAAUACGAGAGCGGCAGACGGGAGAGUAACACGUGGGAACGUACCCUUCGGUUCGGAACAACCCAGGGAAACUUGGGCUAAUACCGGAUACGUCCGUAAGGAGAAAGAUUUAUCGCCGAAGGAUCGGCCCGCGUCUGAUUAGCUAGUUGGUGAGGUAACGGCUCACCAAGGCGACGAUCAGUAGCUGGUCUGAGAGGAUGAUCAGCCUCACUGGGACUGAGACACGGCCCAGACUCCUACGGGAGGCAGCAGUGGGGAAUAUUGGACAAUGGGCGCAAGCCUGAUCCAGCCAUGCCGCGUGGGUGAUGAAGGCCUUAGGGUUGUAAAGCUCUUUUACCAGGGAUGAUAAUGACAGUACCUGGAGAAUAAGCUCCGGCUAACUCCGCGCCAGCAGCCGC